RNAcentral lists this ribosomal RNA (460 nucleotides) under uncultured bacterium. Its description in RNAcentral is "partial 16S ribosomal RNA". It matches the Rfam family "Bacterial small subunit ribosomal RNA", at positions 338 to 795 of the family's 1533-position model. The record is from RNAcentral.
CCUACGGGGGACAGCAGUGAGGAAUAUUGGUCAAUGGGCGCGAGCCUGAACCAGCCAAGUAGCGUGAAGGAUGACUGCCCUACGGGUUGUAAACUUCUUUUAUAAAGGAAUACAGUGAGGCACGUGUGCCUUUUUGUAUUUACUUUAUGAAUAAGGAUCGGCGAACUCCGUGCCAUCAGCCGCGGUAAUACGGAGGUUCCGAGCGUUAUCCGGAUUUAUUGGGUUGAACGGGAGCGUAGAUGGGUUGUUAAGUCAGUUGUGAAAGUUUGCGGCUCAACCGUAAAAGUGCAAUUGAUACUGGAAGUCUUGAGUACAGAUGAGGUAGGCGGAAUUCGUGGUGUAGCGGUGAAAUGCUCAGAGAUCACGAAGAACUCCGAUGGCGAAGGCAGCUUACUAAACUGCCACUGACAUUGAUGCUCGAAAGUGUGGGGAUCAAACAGGAUUAGAUACCCGGGUAGUC